Molecule: ribosomal RNA, 497 nt
Filed under: uncultured bacterium
Lineage: Bacteria
Description: partial 16S ribosomal RNA
Rfam family: Bacterial small subunit ribosomal RNA
Source: RNAcentral
GACGAACGCUGGCGGCGUGCCUAACACAUGCAAGUCGAGCGAACAAACAAGGCUUGCGCUCCGGCGACGCAACCGACGGACGGGUGACAAACACGUAGAUAACCCACCUAAAAGACACAGCCAACGUCGACAAACCGGAACUACGGCCGGACACAAUAUUCAACCGUAUGGUUCAAAAGUGAAACUCCGGCUUGCUGACACGUAUAGACGCACCCGCGCCGCAUUAGUUAGUUGGUUAGGUAACGGCUUACCAAGGCAACGAUGGGUAGCCGGCCUGAGAGGAUGAUCGGCCACACUGGAACUGAGACACGGUCCAGACUCCUACGGGAGGCAGCAGUGGGGAAUCUUGCGCAAUGGGCGAAAGCGUGACGGAGCAACGCCGCGUGAGUGAUGAAGGUCUUCGGGUCGUAAACCUCUGUUAGUAGGGACGAACAAAUGUGUAAGUAUAUAUGCACGUAUUGACGGUACCUAAACAAGAAGCCACGGCUAACUACGUG